AUUGAACGCUGGCGGCAGGCCUAACACAUGCAAGUCGAGCGGAUGAAGGGAGCUUGCUCCUGGAUUCAGCGGCGGACGGGUGAGUAAUGCCUAGGAAUCUGCCUGGUAGUGGGGGAUAACGUCCGGAAACGGGCGCUAAUACCGCAUACGUCCUGAGGGAGAAAGUGGGGGAUCUUCGGACCUCACGCUAUCAGAUGAGCCUAGGUCGGAUUAGCUAGUUGGUGGGGUAAAGGCCUACCAAGGCGACGAUCCGUAACUGGUCUGAGAGGAGGAUCAGCCGCACUAGAACUGAGACGCGGUCCUGACUCCUACGGGAGGCAGCAGUGGGGAAUGUUGGACAAUGGGCGAAAGCCUUAUCCAGCCAUGCCGCGUGUGUGAAGAAGGUCUUCGGAUUGUAAAGCACUUUAAGGUGGGAGGAAGGGCAGUAAGUUAAUACCUUGCUGUUUUGACGUUACCAACAGAAUAAGCACCGGCUAACUUCGUG
Molecule: ribosomal RNA, 484 nt
Filed under: uncultured bacterium
Lineage: Bacteria
Description: partial 16S ribosomal RNA
Rfam family: Bacterial small subunit ribosomal RNA
Source: RNAcentral